This 465-nucleotide ribosomal RNA is filed under the name uncultured bacterium. RNAcentral describes it as "partial 16S ribosomal RNA". It matches the Rfam family "Bacterial small subunit ribosomal RNA", at positions 338 to 795 of the family's 1533-position model. The record is from RNAcentral.
CCUACGGGUGGCAGCAGUGGGGAAUUUUGGACAAUGGGCGCAAGCCUGAUCCAGCUAUUCCGCGUGUGGGAUGACGGCCCUCGGGUUGUAAACCACUUUAGUAGAGAACGAAAAGGAGCUAUCGCAUAAAUAGCUCUUCUUACGGUACUCUAAGAAUAAGCACCGGCUAACUACGUCCCAGCGGCCGAGGUAAUACGUCGGGUGCGAGCGUUAAUCGGAAUUUCUGGGCGUAAAUGGUGUGCAGGCGGCUGAGUAAGACAGAUGUGAAAUCCCCGGGCUUAACCUUGGAACCGCAUAUGGUACUGGUUGGCUAGAGUGCGUCAGAGGGAGGUGGAAUUCCAGGUGUAGCAGUGAAAUGCGUAGAUAUGUGGAAGAACACCGAUGGCGAAGGCAGCCUCCUGGGACGCAACUGACGCUCAUACACGAAAGCGUGGGGAGCAAACAGGAUUAGAUACCCUAGUAGUC